GACUCAUUGAAGGCUAUUUUUGUUCAAAAGCGAAAAGAGGGUGGGACAAGUGCCUAACUUGCCUGUAAAAAGAAGAAGAUGAAGAAGACACUCACCCUGUUAGUGGGCAUUAUGACUGAGCUGAUUAUGGCUGAGGUUGUGCUGCCACCUCCUUCUCCUUCUCUAACUAUUGACACGGCAGCUACUCUUAGUGCCAGUGGAUUGGAUGCUAUUUUGAGGAGGCAAGGACAAGUAGCUAAAAAUUUUUCACUGGCCGAGCUACUUGGGAGGAAGCUGACUCUACCUGGUGAUUGCGUUUAUCUUAAACUUGGGAGUGACCAUGACUUAUUCCUUCAUUCGAUGAGCCUAAGCUUGGAGGUGGUCACCGUGAUCAAUUUUGUGUAAGAGUGGUUUCAGGCACAACGAUAGUUAUAAUGAACUGCAAACCAAUUGUAGUGCCCUGGAAUUCAUCAUAGAGGAGAAGGAUGAUCAACUUAAACAAAUGCAGUCUGAUCUAGAGAAUUCAGAGGCCAAGGUGGCUUCACUUACAUUGUUGAGGUCAAGUCUUCUGAUGAGAGGUUGAUAGAUUUAUAAUUGCCUUACAUAUGACUAUUGUGUAUGAGCUCUCCAAGCGCCAGUCGGGUAUUGAUUUUGAAUGGAUUAAAGAGAAAGUUCUAGGUCAAACUAACUUUGAGGAGGGAGGGGAUAAGGGAGAGGAAGGUGGAGUAAGUGAAGGAUGAUGAUGCUGGGGUUACACCUUCCGUCG
Molecule: unclassified non-coding RNA, 745 nt
Filed under: Hevea brasiliensis (rubber tree)
Lineage: Eukaryota; Viridiplantae; Streptophyta; Magnoliopsida; Malpighiales; Euphorbiaceae
Source: RNAcentral